This 1375-nucleotide long non-coding RNA is filed under the name Gallus gallus (chicken). RNAcentral describes it as "long non-coding RNA NONGGAT006831". The record is from RNAcentral. Lineage: Eukaryota; Metazoa; Chordata; Aves; Galliformes; Phasianidae.
AUCUACUGCUGCUCGUGACCCUCACAAGGUUCCAAAAGCGUAACAGCAAGACCAGUCAUGAGGUGCUGUUCCAUCGAUGGAAGUUUGAAAGCAUUAAGUUCAAGGAAGGAGGCCACCCAGAACAAACAUCCCCCCCUCCAAUUCCGAAAGAGAAAAUAAAUUACUGAAGACCUUUAUAAAGAAAGCAUGCUGUUUUAUAGUAGGGCACUAUCCACGCAAAGCGACUUUUACUGCAACGAACUCCUGUUUCAGACUCAGGGUGUCCAUAAGAAGCUAUUUCUGUAAUUACUUCAAUAUUUACAUAUCUAAAAAUAAGCUGCUCUUACUCAUCACUGCCACCAUAUUUUGUCUGCUGACUGAUGGAGACUGAAAGAAAUUGAAGAGCGCUGCGUCAGGAAAGCUUUGCGGACUUAUGGAUGGGGAAGAGAAGGCUACUGAACUUUUCCAUUCUCCCCUUCAGUCUAGACCUGAGGAAAACAGCAAAUGCUUCCCUCUCACACUGGUUUAUUUUUAAAACCCUACAAUAAGAGCUUCACUCAAAUCCCUAUAUUGGGUCUUUGUAGCCUAGAAGACUGACCUGACCGAGGGACUUUGCCCAUAUGUACAUACAAGCAGCUCUUAGGGAAAGAUUUAGUGAAACCUCCCUGCCAAUACAGUUCUUUUCUAUUCUGACUCCCAAGGUAGCCAUAUCCUUUCCCCUGCUGGCCUUCCUCCAUUUUAGGAGACACCCCCAAACUUGCAACCCGUCAGCACAAUGGGACUGCCAGCGUUAUGGCCAGCCAAGAAUUAAGGGAACUCUUAAUGACUACUGUCAUGGAAGGGAUCAUUUAUUACAAGGCUGCUGGGUAUCUGAGCGGGACGCUGAACCCUACAAGGAAACACUAGCACUCAUUUACAAACAGAACUCAGCAUUUUUAUUCAUUGAUUGACUUCCUGCCAGUUUUUGUUUUUUUUUCCUUUAAUAUUUGCUGUCACCAGAGAAGAGCGUAAAAACACAGUACAACAUUAUUAACCAGUUAGGAAGGCUGGAAGGGAAAGCAGAUCCCAGUACAAUUGCAAGUAACUUGGCAGAGUUGAUAAUUUAAGAUUUUUGAAUGGAUCAGCAAUGAAGCAAUAAAUAUGCUGCCGCACUGAACCAACAAGAGGGUUUUCACUAAAUUCGUGGUUUAUUGCAUUACAUUUUAUAACUGAACGUAUCCAUCAUCAUACAUUUGUUCACCAACAAGGCAAAUGACACUUUUUCAUACGUUGUGUACUAAAUGGCUAAAAUUAUGCAGUAGCUGAACCAGGCUAGAACUAGUAGAGGUAGAUAUUGAAUGGGCAGUGCCAGGCAGAAAUAUGUUGUUGAAGUACUUUUUGCCUUUUGUUAUGAACA